RNAcentral lists this ribosomal RNA (450 nucleotides) under uncultured organism. RNAcentral describes it as "partial 16S ribosomal RNA". It matches the Rfam family "Bacterial small subunit ribosomal RNA", at positions 333 to 799 of the family's 1533-position model. The record is from RNAcentral.
ACACUCCUACGGGAGGCAGCAGUGGGGAAUAUUGGACAAUGGGCGCAAGCCUGAUCCAGCCAUGCCGCGUGAGUGAUGAAGGCCCUAGGGUUGUAAAGCUCUUUCACCGGUGAAGAUAAUGACGGUAACCGGAGAAGAAGCCCCGGCUAACUUCGUGCCAGCAGCCGCGGUAAUACGAAGGGGGCUAGCGUUGUUCGGAUUUACUGGGCGUAAAGCGCACGUAGGCGGACUAUUAAGUCAGGGGUGAAAUCCCGGGGCUCAACCCCGGAACUGCCUUUGAUACUGGUAGUCUUGAGUUCGAGAGAGGUGAGUGGAAUGCCGAGUGUAGAGGUGAAAUUCGUAGAUAUUCGGAGGAACACCAGUGGCGAAGGCGGCUCACUGGCUCGAUACUGACGCUGAGGUGCGAAAGCGUGGGGAGCAAACAGGAUUAGAAACCCCUGUAGUCCCAUG